Molecule: non-coding RNA, 27 nt
Filed under: Rattus norvegicus (Norway rat)
Lineage: Eukaryota; Metazoa; Chordata; Mammalia; Rodentia; Muridae
Source: RNAcentral
UAGAUGAAAACGUUUCUUAGCUAGAGU